Calidris pugnax (ruff) is the source of this 1384-nucleotide RNA transcript. It is a transcript of the gene named tubulin alpha-8 chain pseudogene, with no coding region annotated. The record is from RefSeq and is a predicted model, not a curated record. NCBI's taxonomy places the organism in Eukaryota, Metazoa, Chordata, Aves, Charadriiformes, Scolopacidae. The transcript is spliced from 2 exons.
CAUGUCCUGCCCCUGCAGCGCGAGUGCAUCUCCAUCCAUGUGGGCCAAGCGGGCGUGCAGAUCGGCAACGCCUGCUGGGAGCUGUACUGCCUGGAGCACGGCAUCCAGCCCGACGGGCAGAUGCCCAGCGACAAGACCAUUGGUGGGGGGGACGACUCCUUCAACACCUUCUUCAGCGAGACGGGGGCCGGCAAGCAUGUACCCCGGGCCGUCUUUGUGGACCUGGAGCCCACGGAGAAUUCCAUGGGGUCUCACAGGCCACCCCAGGGGUGGUUGGGUACAAAGGGACUUGGGAUUUGCCGGGGAGGUGAUCAGGAGGUCCUUCUCACCCUGUCAGCAGUCUCCCAACAGGCUGACCAGUGCACGGGGCUGCAGGGCUUCCUGGUGUUCCACAGCUUUGGGGGUGGCACCGGCUCCGGCUUCACCUCCCUGCUCAUGGAGCGCCUCUCCGUUGACUAUGGCAAGAAGUCCAAGCUGGAGUUCUCCAUCUACCCGGCCCCGCAGGUCUCCACAGCCGUGGUGGAGCCCUACAACUCCAUCCUCACCACCCACACCACCCUGGAGCACUCUGACUGUGCCUUCAUGGUGGACAACGAGGCCAUCUACGACAUCUGCCGCCGCAACCUGGACAUCGAGAGGCCCACCUACACCAACCUCAAUAGGCUGAUAGGUCAGAUCGUGUCCUCCAUCACGGCCUCCCUGCGCUUUGAUGGGGCCCUGAAUGUUGACCUGACGGAGUUCCAGACCAACCUGGUGCCAUACCCCCGCAUCCACUUCCCGCUGGCCACGUACGCCCCCGUCAUCUCGGCUGAGAAGGCCUACCAUGAGCAGCUCUCGGUGGCCGAGAUCACCAACGCCUGCUUUGAGCCGGCCAACCAGAUGGUGAAGUGUGACCCGCGGCACGGCAAGUACAUGGCGUGCUGCCUGCUGUACCGCGGGGACGUGGUGCCCAAGGAUGUCAACGCCGCCAUCGCCACCAUCAAGACCAAGCGCACCAUCCAGUUUGUGGACUGGUGCCCCACGGGUUUCAAGGUGGGCAUCAACUACCAGCCUCCCACGGUGGUCCCCGGGGGGGACCUGGCCAAGGUGCAGCGUGCUGUGUGUAUGCUGAGCAACACCACGGCCAUCGCCGAGGCCUGGGCCCGCCUGGACCACAAGUUUGACCUGAUGUAUGCCAAGCGGGCGUUUGUGCACUGGUACGUGGGGGAGGGCAUGGAGGAGGGGGAGUUCUCGGAGGCCCGGGAGGACAUGGCCGCCCUGGAGAAGGAUUAUGAGGAGGUGGGGGCUGACAGUGUGGAGGGUGAUGAGGAGGGGGAGGAAUAUUAGUGCCUUGUGUCUUCUGCUGCUUACACUGUGGUGCUGGUCAUUAAAAUGACUCUUUCCA